Molecule: ribosomal RNA, 492 nt
Filed under: uncultured bacterium
Lineage: Bacteria
Description: partial 16S ribosomal RNA
Rfam family: Bacterial small subunit ribosomal RNA
Source: RNAcentral
AGUGAACGCUGGCGGUAGGCCUAACACAUGCAAGUCGAACGGCACUACAGUAAGAGUUUGCUUUUACGGGAGGCGAGUGGCGGAUGGGUGUGGAUUACAUCGGUCUCUAUUUUUUCGCGGCGGAUAACGUCGGGAAACUUACGCCAAUAUCGCAUACCCCCUACGGGUUGAAGCAGGGGAUCAUCGGACCUUGCGCGAUUGAAUGAGCCGAUGUCGGAUUAGCUAGUUGGCGGGGUAAAGGCCCACUAAGGCGACGAUCCGUUGCUGGUCUGAGAGGAUGAUCACCCUAACUGGAACUCGAACACGAUCCGUGCUCCUACGGGAAGCAGCAGUGUGGAAUGUUGGGCAAUAGGCGCAAGCCUGAUCCAGCCAUACCGCGUGUGUUAAGAAGGCCUUCGGGUUGUAAGGCCCUUUUGUUAGGAGAGAAGAGCAGCAGGUUAAUACCCCGCUAGUCUGACGGUACCCAGAGAAUAAGCACCGGCUAACUUCGUG